GGGUACGUGGUGUAGUGGUAUCAUACCUGCUUUGGGUGCAGGUGGUCGGCGGUUCAAACCCGUCCGUACCCC
This is a non-coding RNA of Coelomomyces lativittatus, 72 nucleotides long. The record is from the annotation of a GenBank genome assembly. NCBI's taxonomy places the organism in Eukaryota, Fungi, Blastocladiomycota, Blastocladiomycetes, Blastocladiales, Coelomomycetaceae.